AUACGGAGGAUCCGAGCGUUAUCCGGAUUUAUUGGGCUUAAAGGGAGCGUAGGUGGAUUGUUAAGUCAGUUGUGAAAGUUUGCGGCUCAACCGUAAAAUUGCAGUUGAAACUGGCAGUCUUGAGUAUAGUAGAGGAGGGCGGAAUUCGUGGUGUAGCGGUGGAAUGCUUAGAUAUCACGAAGAACUCCGAUUGCGAAGGCAGCUCACUAGACUGUUACUGACACUGAUGCUCGAAAGUGUGGGUAUCAAACAGGAUUAGAUACCCUGGUAGUCCACACAGUAAACGAUGAAUACUCGCUGUUUGCGAUAUACAGUAAGCGGCCAAGCGAAAGCAUUAAGUAUUCCACCUGGGGAGUACGCCGGCAACGGUGAAACUCAAAGGAAUUGACGGGG
Molecule: ribosomal RNA, 393 nt
Filed under: uncultured bacterium
Lineage: Bacteria
Description: partial 16S ribosomal RNA
Rfam family: Bacterial small subunit ribosomal RNA
Source: RNAcentral